This 477-nucleotide ribosomal RNA is filed under the name uncultured bacterium. Its description in RNAcentral is "partial 16S ribosomal RNA". It matches the Rfam family "Bacterial small subunit ribosomal RNA", at positions 28 to 507 of the family's 1533-position model. The record is from RNAcentral.
GAUGAACGCUGGCGGCGUGCCUAAUACAUGCAAGUCGAGCGAACAGACGAGGAGCUUGCUCCUCUGACGUUAGCGGAGGACGGGUGAGUAACGCGUGGAUAACCUACCUAUCUGACUGGGAUAACUUCGGGAAACCGGCGCUAAUCCCGGAUAAUAUAUUGCACCGCAUGGGUCAAUAGUGAAAGACGGUUUUGCUGUCACUUGUGGAUGGAUCCGCGCCGCAUCAGCUAGUUGGUAGGGUAGAGGCUUACCAAGGCAACGACGCGUAGCCGGCCUGAGAGGGUGACCGGCCACAUUGGGACUGAGAUACGGCCAAGACUCCUACGGGAGGCAGCAGUGGGGAAUAUUGCACAAUGGGCGGAAGCCUGAUGCAGCAACGCCGCGUGCGGGAUGACGGCCUUCGGGUUGUAAACCGCUUUCGCCUGUGACGAAGCGUGAGUGACGGGAAUGGGUAAAGAAGCACCGGCUAACUACGUG